AUUGAACGCUGGCGGCAUGCCUUACACAUGCAAGUCGAACGGCAGCACGGGAGCAAUCCUGGUGGCGAGUGGCGAACGGGUGAGUAAUAUAUCGGAACGUGCCCAGUCGUGGGGAUAACGUAGCGAAAGCUACGCUAAUACCGCAUACGAUCUAUGGAUGAAAGCGGGGGAUCGCAAGACCUCGCGCGAUUGGAGCGGCCGAUAUCAGAUUAGGUAGUUGGUGAGGUAAAGGGCUCACCAAGCCGACGAUCUGUAGCUGGUCUGAGAGGACGACCAGCCACACUGGGACUGAGACACGGCCCAGACUCCUACGGGAGGCAGCAGUGGGGAAUUUUGGACAAUGGGCGCAAGCCUGAUCCAGCAAUGCCGCGUGCA
This 375-nucleotide ribosomal RNA is filed under the name uncultured bacterium. Its description in RNAcentral is "bacterial SSU rRNA". It matches the Rfam family "Bacterial small subunit ribosomal RNA", at positions 30 to 405 of the family's 1533-position model. The record is from RNAcentral.